This 351-nucleotide unclassified non-coding RNA is filed under the name uncultured fungus. RNAcentral describes it as "partial contains 5.8S ribosomal RNA, internal transcribed spacer 2, and large subunit ribosomal RNA". The record is from RNAcentral. RNAcentral also lists the same sequence under 1 other name. Lineage: Eukaryota; Fungi.
AACGCACCUUGCGCCCCUUGGUAUUCCGAGGGGCACACCCGUUUGAGUGUCGUGAAAUUCUCAACCUUCUCGGUUUUCUUCUGGACACCGAAGGAGGCUUGGACAUUGGAGGCCUUUGCUGGCGUCUCUUAGACCCAGCUCCUCUUAAAUGAAUUAGCGGGGUCCUCUUUGCCGAUCCUUGACAUGUGAUAAGAUGUUUCCAUGACUUGGUUUCUGGCUCUGUUGCAUUUGGGACCCGCUUCUAACCGUCUCGACGAGACAACGUUUGGGCGUGUCUCCCUUCUCGGGAGACUCUCUCAACCCCCACGAACCCUUGACCUCAAAUCGGGUGAGACUACCCGCUGAACUUAA